GACAGAGGGUGCAAACGUUGCUCGGAAUCACUGGGCGUAAAGGGCGUGUAGGCGGGAAGGAAAGUCAGAUGUGAAAUCCCCAGGCUCAACCUGGGAACUGCAUUUGAAACUCCCUUUCUUGAGUACCGGAGAGGAAAGUGGAAUUCCUGGUGUAGAGGUGAAAUUCGUAGAUAUUCGGAAGAACACCAGUGGCGAAGGCGACUCACUGGACAUGUAUUGACGCUGAGGUACGAAAGCGUGGGGAGCAAACAGG
This 253-nucleotide ribosomal RNA is filed under the name uncultured bacterium. RNAcentral's name for it is "partial 16S ribosomal RNA". It matches the Rfam family "Bacterial small subunit ribosomal RNA", at positions 524 to 776 of the family's 1533-position model. The record is from RNAcentral.